Molecule: unclassified non-coding RNA, 421 nt
Filed under: soil metagenome
Description: partial contains 5.8S ribosomal RNA, internal transcribed spacer 2, and large subunit ribosomal RNA
Rfam family: 5.8S ribosomal RNA (bases 1-120)
Source: RNAcentral
GAUGAAGAACGUAGCGAAAUGCGAUACGUAAUGUGAAUUGCAGAAUUCAGUGAAUCAUCGAAUCUUUGAACGCAUAUUGCGCUCUUUGGUAUUCCGAAGAGCAUGCUUGUUUGAGUAUCAGUAAACACCUCAACCUCUUCUUGAUUUUUCAAAAGGAGGGUGGACUUGAGCUAUCCCAACAACCUUUACCGGUCGGCGGGCGGCUUGAAAUGCAGGUGCAGCUGGACUUUUAUCUGAGCUAAAAGCAUAUCUAUUUAGUCCUCGUCAAACAGGAUUAUUACUUUUGCUGCAGCUAACAUAAAGGAUAAUUGUCCUCUUUGCUGACUGAUGCAGGAUUUUACGACACUUUAUGUGUUGUUCAACUCGAUCUCGAAUCAAGUAAGACUACCCGCUGAACUUAAGCAUAUCAAUAAGCGGAGGA